RNAcentral lists this ribosomal RNA (467 nucleotides) under uncultured bacterium. Its description in RNAcentral is "partial 16S ribosomal RNA". It matches the Rfam family "Bacterial small subunit ribosomal RNA", at positions 28 to 507 of the family's 1533-position model. The record is from RNAcentral.
GAUGAACGCUGGCGGCGUGCUUAACACAUGCAAGUCGAACGGAAAGGCUCCUGCUUGCAGGGGUACUCGAGUGGCGAACGGGUGAGUAACACGUGGGUGAUCUGCCCUGCACUUCGGGAUAAGCCUGGGAAACUGGGUCUAAUACCGGAUAGGACCACAUUUUGGAUGGUGUGGUGGAAAGUUUUUCGGUGUGGGAUGAGCUCGCGGCCUAUCAGCUUGUUGGUGGGGUAAUGGCCUACCAAGGCGUCGACGGGUAGCCGGCCUGAGAGGGUGUACGGCCACAUUGGGACUGAGAUACGGCCCAGACUCCUACGGGAGGCAGCAGUGGGGAAUAUUGCACAAUAGGCGCAAGCCUGAUGCAGCGACGCCGCGUGGGGGAUGACGGCCUUCGGGUUGUAAACUCCUUUCGCUAGGGACGAAGCGUUUUUGUGACGGUACCUGGAGAAGAAGCACCGGCUAACUACGUG